GAUGAACGCUGGCGGCGUGCCUAAUACAUGCAAGUCGAGCGAACGGGCGAGGAGCUUGCUCCUCUGAUGUUAGCGGCGGACGGGUGAGUAACACGUGGAUAACCUACCUAUAAGACUGGGAUAACUUCGGGAAACCGGAGCUAAUACCGGAUAAUAUAUUGAACCGCAUGGUUCAAUAGUGAAAGACGGUCUUGCUGUCACUUAUAGAUGGAUCCGCGCUGCAUUAGCUAGUUGGUAAGGUAACGGCUUACCAAGGCAACGAUGCAUAGCCGACCUGAGAGGGUGAUCGGCCACACUGGAACUGAGACACGGUCCAGACUCCUACGGGAGGCAGCAGUAGGGAAUCUUCCGCAAUGGGCGAAAGCCUGACGGAGCAACGCCGCGUGAGUGAUGAAGGUCUUCGGAUCGUAAAACUCUGUUAUUAGGGAAGAACAAAUGUGUAAGUAACUGUGCACAUCUUGACGGUACCUAAUCAGAAAGCCACGGCUAACUACGUG
RNAcentral lists this ribosomal RNA (497 nucleotides) under uncultured bacterium. RNAcentral describes it as "partial 16S ribosomal RNA". It matches the Rfam family "Bacterial small subunit ribosomal RNA", at positions 28 to 507 of the family's 1533-position model. The record is from RNAcentral.